UCAGGGCAAGAGAUUAGCAGGAGAUUAGCAGCCAGACAGACCCAGAAGAUUUUCAGUAUCAUCCUGUCUAUUUUGAAGGACUCUCCUGCAACUCCCCACUGUCUCAUGCUGCAGAAGGCACAGGAGUGAAGAAUAAAUGCUGGCAAAAGAAAGGAAAACUGGAAGAAACAGCCUGGUAAGCACCAUCCAGAGAAAAUCCCAUGCACUGAGAACUGGAAAAUUGCUCAGCACUCCCGAGAUUUUCUGGUGACAUCAGCAGACACCAUCAGCCGUGCUGAAAGUGACCAUGUUCCCAUUAAGCUGCUUCUGAAAGGCUUCUGGGAUCUCUGGAGCUGUAUCUGUGUAUCUGGCCAUGUAACACUGAAAAUACUUCAAGAGAAGCUUGAAGAAUGGUGUCACCUGGAGUAAUUGCAGAGUCAGGUAUCUGGCAUCAGUGUACAAUUUGUCUGAGGAAAAUGGAACACUAUUUUCAAAGAUUAUAAUAGUAUCUUGCAGUUUACCUGUGA
Long non-coding RNA from Corapipo altera (White-ruffed manakin), 506 nucleotides. RefSeq lists it as uncharacterized. Lineage: Eukaryota; Metazoa; Chordata; Aves; Passeriformes; Pipridae. The record is from RefSeq and is a predicted model, not a curated record. The transcript has 3 exons.